CGUUAAGUUGCAGGGUAUAGACCCGAAACCCGGUGAUCUAGCCAUGGGCAGGUUGAAGGUUGGGUAACACUAACUGGAGGACCGAACCGACUAAUGUUGAAAAAUUAGCGGAUGACCUGUGGCUGGGGGUGAAAGGCCAAUCAAACCGGGAGAUAGCUGGUUCUCCCCGAAAGCUAUUUAGGUAGCGCCUCGUGAAUUCAUCUCCGGGGGUAGAGCACUGUUUCGGCUAGGGGGCCAUCCCGGCUUACCAACCCGAUGCAAACUGCGAAUACCGGAGAAUGUUAUCACGGGAGACACACGGCGGGUGCUAACGUCCGUCGUGAAGAGGGAAACAACCCAGACCGCCAGCUAAGGUCCCAAAGUCAUGGUUAAGUGGGAAACGAUGUGGGAAGGCCCAGACAGCCAGGAUGUUGGCUUAGAAGCAGCCAUCAUUUAAAGAAAGCGUAAUAGCUCACUGGUCGAGUCGGCCUGCGCGGAAGAUGUAACGGGGCUAAACCAUGCACCGAAGCUGCGGCAGCGACACUGUGUGUUGUUGGGUA
RNAcentral lists this ribosomal RNA (539 nucleotides) under Salmonella enterica. Its description in RNAcentral is "partial 23S ribosomal RNA". It matches the Rfam family "Bacterial large subunit ribosomal RNA", at positions 693 to 1230 of the family's 2925-position model. The record is from RNAcentral. Lineage: Bacteria; Pseudomonadati; Pseudomonadota; Gammaproteobacteria; Enterobacterales; Enterobacteriaceae.